GAUGAAGAACGUAGCGAAAUGCGAUAAGUAAUGUGAAUUGCAGAAUUCAGUGAAUCAUCGAAUCUUUGAACGCACAUUGCGCCCGCCAGUAUUCUGGCGGGCAUGCCUGUUCGAGCGUCAUUUCAACCAUCAAGCCCCAGGCUUGUGUUGGGGACCUGCGGCUGCCGCAGGCCCUGAAAAGCAGUGGCGGGCUCGCUGUCACACCGAGCGUAGUAGCAUACAUCUCGCUCUGGGCGUGCUGCGGGUUCCGGCCGUUAAACCACCUUCAUAACCCAAGGUUGACCUCGGAUCAGGUAGGAAGACCCGCUGAACUUAAGCAUAUCAAUAAGCGGAGGA
Molecule: unclassified non-coding RNA, 336 nt
Filed under: soil metagenome
Description: partial contains 5.8S ribosomal RNA, internal transcribed spacer 2, and large subunit ribosomal RNA
Rfam family: 5.8S ribosomal RNA (bases 1-120)
Source: RNAcentral